GCCGGUUUAGCUUAGUGGUAGAGCGUUGCACUUGUACUCAUGUAUCGGAUUUGGUACAAUGCAAAGGUCGGUUGUUCAAUCCAGCCAACCGGCA
Marasmius tenuissimus is the source of this 94-nucleotide non-coding RNA. The record is from the annotation of a GenBank genome assembly. NCBI's taxonomy places the organism in Eukaryota, Fungi, Basidiomycota, Agaricomycetes, Agaricales, Marasmiaceae.